This 1823-nucleotide long non-coding RNA is filed under the name Equus caballus (horse). RNAcentral's name for it is "lncRNA (ENSECAG00000056624.1)". The record is from RNAcentral. Lineage: Eukaryota; Metazoa; Chordata; Mammalia; Perissodactyla; Equidae.
GGACACGCUCGCCUCCCACCAGCCCCCAGGCCCACGCCCCCCAGGUACCUCUCUCAGAUGGAAUCCUCUUCGCAGGCGCCCUGGUCCUCCGUGUCCGGCGAGCAGGAAGAGCGGGAGCUGAAGGACGGCCUCCUCAGGCUAGCGGCCGUGGCUGUGGAGGGCCCGGGCUGCUGUGCCCAGCGGGGACGCGGAGCGGCGUCCACGGACGCCGGGGGAACGGACGAGCCCGGCCCGGGAGAGAGCAGCACAGCGCGGCCGGACUCCGCCGGGCUCGGCUCUGGGCAGGCAGGCGCGGCUCGCCGACGCCUCCCACGCCUCCCAGGACGGCGGCCCAGCAGCCGCGCGCUCCUCUCCUCUCCUCUCCUCGCGCGCGCGCGCCGCCGCCCAGACGCUGCCCGGCCGUUGCCCCGCCCCCCCCUCCGGCGGUGGACUGCGGACAGCGACGGGGACACCCUCCUGGGAGAACUCCUGCGGCCCCGCCCACACGCUUCGGACCUUCGCGCAGCGGGAAGGUGCGCUGACAGGGACGCAGGGUCCCCGCUACGCUCGCUCUCGGGGAACUGCAGCCUCCUCCCUCGGCUUUCACUUGAAUGUCAGACCCGAAACCAUGCAACGUCUACAAGCAAACAUAGGCAGUGUGCUCUUUGACAUCAGUCUUAGCAGCCUAUUUUCAAGUACCACGUCUGACUGGGCAAGGGAAACAAAAUACAAAAUGAACAAACGGGACUACAUCAAAGUCAAAAAACAUCCUCUGCACCGCAAAGGAAACCAUCCACAAAACCAAAACACAACCUAACAACUGGGAGAAGAUUCUUGCAAACCGUAUAUCGGAUAAGGGGUUAAUAUCCAAAACACAGAAAGAACUCAUACAUCUCAACAGCAAAAAAAAUCAACAACCCAAUUGAAAAGGCGGGCAAAAGAUCUGAGCAGUGAUUUCUCCAAAGAAGCAGCCUAUUUUCAAGUACCACGUCUGACUGGGCAAGGGAAACAAAAUACAAAAUGAACAAACGGGACUACAUCAAAGUCAAAAAACAUCCUCUGCACCGCAAAGGAAACCAUCCACAAAACCAAAACACAACCUAACAACUGGGAGAAGAUUCUUGCAAACCGUAUAUCGGAUAAGGGGUUAAUAUCCAAAACACAGAAAGAACUCAUACAUCUCAACAGCAAAAAAAAUCAACAACCCAAUUGAAAAGGCGGGCAAAAGAUCUGAGCAGUGAUUUCUCCAAAGAAGGUAUACGGAUGGCCAACAGGCAUAUGGAAAGGGACUCAACAUCCUUAGCGAUCAGAGAAAUGCAAAUCACAACUACAAGGAGAUGUCACCUUACUCUGGUCAGAAUGGCUCUAAUUAACAAGACAAGAGACAAGUGUCGGAGAGGAUGUGCAGAGAAGGGAACUCUCCUGCACUGCUGGUGGGAGGGCAGACUGGUGCAGCCACUAUGGAAAGCAGUAUGGAGUAUCCUCAGAAAACUAAGAACACAUCUACCAUAUGUAGGAUCCAGCUAGCCCACUGCUGGCUAUUCAUCCAAAGAACUUGAAAACACCAAUGCAGAAAGACACAUGCACCCCUGGGUUCACUGCAGCAUUAUUCACAACAGCCAAAACUUGGAAGCAACCUAGGUGCCCAUCAAGGGAAGAAUGGAUAAAGAAGAUGUGGUAUGUAUACACAAUGGAAUGCCACUCGGCCCUAAGAAAUGAUGAGAUCCGCCCAUUUGUGACAACUUCGAUGGACCUUGAGGGUAUUAUGUGAAGUGAAAUAAAUCAGAGGGACAAAGUCAAACACCGUGUGAUCUCACUCAUAAGGAGAAGAUAAAAACAACGAC